RNAcentral lists this long non-coding RNA (209 nucleotides) under Mytilus galloprovincialis (Mediterranean mussel). The record is from RNAcentral. Lineage: Eukaryota; Metazoa; Mollusca; Bivalvia; Mytilida; Mytilidae.
AAUUAAUUUCAUUUCAAGGUAUACGUAUAAUAUGACAAUCAAAAUCAUAUUUACACAACGAUCCACUUAUUUUCCUUGUUGUGUUUGUGGACACUCAAGACAUCUUAAGGUUGUUAAUUCACUACUGUAUAUACUUGUCACCAUAGAAAACACAAGUCCACAAUGAGAUUUACAUUAAGUUCAGUUUCAAGAUAGCAAAUUUUCCCACA